UUUAUCAUAUUUACUUAAAAUUUUCACAAUUGUGAAACGCGGCAUUCGGGAAGAUUUAACUGUUUUAUUAAUAUUAAACGACCGCCCUGUUGUGUCCGAUUAGAACAACGUGAGUGGACAAUGCGCAAAUCAGAGUAGUGGUAUUCGUUCCGUUGUCUGCAUUGACCUAUUCCAAGUCAAAGCUGUUGGGAAAAUUCACAUGAAAGUGUUUAAGACAAUACAAUGGAUUUAUAGAUCACUUUACGAAAGAUUUGUUUUUUGAGCUCCAUAUUUAUCUGCGUCAAGGUAUAAAAGGGUCACACAAUCGUUUAAAGUAUCGAGAUCAGAAAGUUUAAUAAGUACACACAACAACGCCAUGAAGAGGGUUCAAAGUUUACACCUAUUAUUUGCCAUAGCGCUUUCAGCAGUGGAUACGUUCGGUGAAGUCGCUUUGACUCCAACCAUGAGCAGUUACGCCGAGGAGAAUGUAAGCAAUGAUACUUUACCAUUGUGCAAAUUUAAGGUGUGGAACGAAAGCAAACGAUUUUUCUAUAUUCAAUACCAUGAAUCGAAUCCAGCAUUCGUCAAAUUCCGACUGAUAAUCAUUGGGACCUCCGUCGUGGAGUCGAGCCAUGCUGACGUGGUAUUGCCACAUCACUGGUUCUGGACCUACUCAACCAAUCGCUCAAAAUAUCCGUACCUCAGGUGGUUUAUUGACUUCGGUAUAGUCUCAUUUUCAUUGUUAGAUGCAAGGACAUUAGAACUUAAAUAUUUGGCGGUCGAAUCAAUACCAGAUGAAAAUUCGAUUCAGUGUAAAGUAAUAUUUGGUGAUAACAGGUCAAUGAUGAAUGCAGUGACGGCAUUAUCUGAAGAAGUUUCAAAUACACGGUCGAAUGACGAACAUAGAUUUCAACAACAGUUUUUCUGUUAUGUGACAUUACUAAAAUAUUUCAAUACUAGCAUGGAAUAUCUUGCUGGACUAUAUUUUAAUUUUCCAACUAAUAUCUUUGCAUACUCGUGCUGUGAAUUUAACUAUGAUUACUCUAACGGAACAUAUUCAGAGCCGGAAUGCAACCAAAAGCAGAAUAAAUGGACAAUGUGCACAACUGGACCGUAUAUUGUCGGAAUUCUAAUUUUAAUAUUCUUUUCUUAUUUGGAUUCAAUAUACUCGGCGCAAUGUCAAAAUCGGAAAUCAUUCAGCCUUAUGACUACGAAAGACUGAAUAUAUCUGCAUUUUUAACGCAAGAAAGACUAGAAGACGACAAAUGGAUAUUCCUUGACGUAAAACUACCAUUGACAUUGUCAGAUCUGCCUUCGAGAAUGGUAUCCGGCUUCAAACAGAAUCAUUCGUUAAUGUUUUCCCGUCUGAGGCGAUUUUUGUGCGUGCUUAGUGUACCCGUUUUAUUGUUUGCAAGGAUUUUAAUGUAUACAGACGGUAUUGGUUCAAUUAACACAAUAACUGUAGGUGAUCUUGUUUCUAAAGGCAAGCCUUUAGGAUUCGUGUCUCUUCUAGCCGCGGCUGAGGAUGCCCGAAAAACAUUUGUACCGAUUCUAGGAGGGCCGAUAACAGUUAUAUGCAUUUAUUGUAUUCUUUGAAUUAUUAUAACGGUAAUUCCCAGAAGUUUGAAACAGAUUGUUGAAAAUGGAAUGCCGACAAAACGACAAUGGUCUCCGUUAUUUUUCGGACUUGACGAAGUAUUAUGUAUGGCUCACCUUGAACCGGAAACUGAGCCCGGCUGCAUUGUGUAAAGGCAGCUUUUUGAUGCUUUUCAACGGCAUCUUUGGCGUAGACUUUUCUUCUCUCAAAACGUGCGUUUUAUGAAGUUAUACAGAAAUAAACUCAAGUUCUUUA
This is a long non-coding RNA of Dreissena polymorpha, 1831 nucleotides long. RefSeq lists it as uncharacterized. The record is from RefSeq and is a predicted model, not a curated record. NCBI's taxonomy places the organism in Eukaryota, Metazoa, Mollusca, Bivalvia, Myida, Dreissenidae. The transcript is spliced from 2 exons.